GAUGAAGAACGCAGCGAAAUGCGAUAAGUAGUGUGAAUUGCAGAAUUCAGUGAAUCAUCGAAUCUUUGAACGCACAUUGCGCCCUUUGGUAUUCCAAAGGGCAUGCCUGUUCGAGCGUCAUCUGUACCCUCAAGCUUUGCUUGGUGUUGGGCGUCUUGUCUCUAGCUUUGCUGGAGACUCGCCUUAAAGUAAUUGGCAGCCGGCCUACUGGUUUCGGAGCGCAGCACAAGUCGCACUCUCUAUCAGCAAAGGUCUAGCAUCCAUUAAGCCUUUUUUUCAACUUUUGACCUCGGAUCAGGUAGGGAUACCCGCUGAACUUAAGCAUAUCAAUAAGCGGAGGA
This 341-nucleotide unclassified non-coding RNA is filed under the name soil metagenome. Its description in RNAcentral is "partial contains 5.8S ribosomal RNA, internal transcribed spacer 2, and large subunit ribosomal RNA". The stretch from base 1 to 120 matches the Rfam family "5.8S ribosomal RNA", at positions 35 to 154 of the family's 154-position model. The record is from RNAcentral.